This 1255-nucleotide long non-coding RNA is filed under the name Malus domestica (apple). RNAcentral describes it as "long non-coding RNA (MDOM_LNC007641)". The record is from RNAcentral. Lineage: Eukaryota; Viridiplantae; Streptophyta; Magnoliopsida; Rosales; Rosaceae.
CUCCACUUCGCCAUGAAAUACGAAGUAACUAAUGCUCACCUUUGGUCUAUGGAAGGGGACAAAGCCAAGGAGAAGGAAAAAAGGCACAGAUGGCAGAAAAAACAUUUGAGAGAGAGCAAAAAACUGCAAAAGUUCAUAGUGAGUUCAGAAAGAAAGAGCAACAGGGUGCUAAAGAAAUCAUUAGAGAAGAGAAGAAGACAAGAGUUUCAGACGUGAAAAAUCUCCAGCCGGACGAGAGAGAAUAGCAACCAUAGGCACAAAAAGGGGAUAAAACCCAUGUUGUCACUUCUGUGCUUCUUUCAUCUUCUUUUCUGUACAACUUUGCAGGUGAGUCUGGUUGUGAACAAAUCAUAAAUCAGCACCAAAUUGUCAUAUGACAACUUCUUUUGUAUCUCUUUUGUGCAGGAAACAUUAUGAAGUGGCAGUCGUAAAGAAGAAGAGUGAAGUUCAUGUUCCUUCAAAAAGAUGCAGAAAAUGAGGGAAUUUUCUGAAGCCAAACAAAUUAAGAAAUUGCAGUCAAUAGCCUCUCUGGUCACCACUCAUAUUCCUUUUCCGUCAAUAGGAGGUUGCUGAUCACAACCCUUUUUCGUCAAAAAAUGUUGCUGAACAAGUACUCUCUGAUAGAAAAGAAGAGGAGAAGCUGCUGGCUAGAAAAAGGUGUGGAGAUGAAGACUGCACAAAAGAGACAGUCACAAGACUUCUCAGCUGAACGAAGUGUGCCAAAGAAUGGUGUGGUUGCUGUUACUGACGGAAAAGAAGGCUGCAAAAAGGUGUCCGCAAGACCCUUCUGUUGUGCAUACGGUCCAAAUUGCUGAUGGAGUAGAAGGCUGCACACGAGAGGUGUCCACAAGGCUUGUCAACUGUGCAAAGUGUACCUAAAUGGGUACAGAUGCUGUCAGUUGUCAAGUUUCUAGCUGAAAAUGAAGACAAAGCCCAUGAAAAAGAGAUGUCUCGAAGACCCCUCUCUCAUAUGCAACUCACAUACGAACACCCGCAAGGUCUUCACGUCAUUGCACCCGCUCAUAGAACACCAUCAAGGUCAUUUAUGAGCACCAAAGACAGAGAAAAGCAAGAAGUAAAAAGUAACAAAGACGGAAAAGACCAAUUAGCAAGUAAUUGGUACAAGACUCAUCAUCAAAGGAGACUACAAAAUCUAAGUUCAUUGCACCAGUCUUGCCAACAAAAUCACGAAGACUCUAGGUCGGAAAGUAAGAAAAUUUGAGUUGAUUCAAAAAGGAAGACUUAGAUGAAAAGC